Molecule: transfer RNA, 63 nt
Filed under: Nobia grandis
Lineage: Eukaryota; Metazoa; Arthropoda; Thecostraca; Balanomorpha; Pyrgomatidae
Description: tRNA-Arg
Source: RNAcentral
AGAUAAGAAGCGAAGUAUUGCUAUCGGUUUCGACCCGGUCUUUGAUUAUAUAAUCCUUAUCUU